RNAcentral lists this long non-coding RNA (15977 nucleotides) under Triticum aestivum (bread wheat). RNAcentral describes it as "long non-coding RNA (TAES_LNC005323)". The record is from RNAcentral. Lineage: Eukaryota; Viridiplantae; Streptophyta; Magnoliopsida; Poales; Poaceae.
CCCGUCGUUGCCGGACCUCCUUAGCUCGCCGGAGCUCCUGCCGUGUCGCCGCUGUUGCUUGUUGCCGCGCCACUAGAGGAGUGUUGCCUCUGCUCCUCGAGCAAGCGCUGCCGCCUCGCGUUGACUCGUCGUCGUCGAGUCCUCGCCGGAGAACAACGCCCCGCACCCGGACCCACUCGUCUCGCCGCCGGCAAGCCCUGCCUCCGCCGCCCUCGCCGUCGCGUGUUCUUCUGCUUCCGGCGUCAUCCGUGCGUCGCGUUCUGCUGCGGCCUUUGUUCUUCUGCAACGAGGAGCAACGAGGAGCAACGAGUCGUUCGUGCGUUGACCACGUUUUCCCCCAGGUCGAUCGAUCCAGCCAGGACCAGCCCUGCAACCCCGCGGCCCAGAUCCAGCGCCCGCGUGGGCCUCAGGCAGGCCGGCCUCCUCUGCUUCCUAUUGGGCUGAGCCCAUGGUGAGGCCAGCUCCAGCGCCCUCCUUUUUUCCCAUUGUUGGGCCAGCUAGAUACGGCCCGUUUCGUGUUUUUUGUCAUAGUACAUUUUACCUAUUUUUUCUAGGAGUUUGGCAGUUUUGCAGAAUAGCCCCUGUUCUUCUUGCAUUUAAUAUCUCACAAACUAUGCAUCUUUUGUAAAAAAACUUCAUAUAUGAAAAAUGCUUAGUUUUCUGUCUAGUUUCAUAAUAUGCCACUUUCAUCCAUGUUUGAAAUGCUUAAAACGAUGUUUGAUUAAAUUUGCUCAUAUAGCAUGCUAAAACAGUUUAAUUCAUAACUAAAUAACCGUAGCUCCAUUUUAAAUAAACUUUAUAUGUAAAUGGGGUAGAAAAAUGCCUAGUUUAACAUGGUGCACUUUUCUUGCAUGUUUAAUUACUCUAAAAUUGUGUUUAGGGAAGAACAGUACCAAACCUAAAAUAUGCACAUGAGGAGUUUCCGGACUUGUUGUUUGUUGUUCCAGCCUCAUUUAAACUUGCCUAGAUAUGUAGUUUUCAUAUGCUUCAUCCCUUGCCAUGUUAAUCAACAUUUUACAUUGUUGGGUACAUAAACGAGAUCGAACUAAAUAACUUGAAUGUGGUGUUCCGUCAAUAUGCAACUCGUAGCAUAUUGAGCUCCACUUAAUUUGUAGUAUUAUUUGUGCACUUUGCCAUGCCAUGUUUCAUUAAACCGAACAUGAAUCAUACUUGGUUGUGCAUCAUGCCAUGUUCAUUGGUGGUUGUUUAAUAUGUUGUUUGCUUCUUUCCGGGUUACUUCUCGCGUUAGCUUUGGUUUCGUUCCGGAGUAGUGAGGAUCCGUUCGACUACGCCCGUUUGUGCUCUUCAUGGACUCGUUCUUCUUCCUUGCGAGAUCUCAGGCAAGAUGACCAUACCUCGAAAUCACUUCUAUCUUUGCUUGCUAGUUGUUCGCUCUAUUGCUAUGCCGCGAUACCUACCACUUGCUAUAUCAUGCCUCCCAUAUUGCCAUGUUAAGGGUCUAACCCACCCUGUCCUAGCAAAUCGUUGUUUGGCUAUGUUACCGCUUUCCUCAGCCCCUCUUAUAGCAUUGUUAGUUGCAGGUGAAGAUGAAGUUUGUUCCUUGUUGAAACCUGGUUAUUAUUUGGGAUAUCACAAUAUAUCUUAUUUAUUUUAAUGCAUCUAUAUAUUUGUUAAAGGGUGGAAGGCUCGGCCUUAUGCCUAGUGUUUUGUUCCACUCUUGCCGCCCUAGAUUCCGUCAUACCAGUGUUAUGUUCCUUGAUUUUGCAUUCCUUACGCGGUUGGGUGUUCUGGGAACCCCUUGAUAGUUCACUUUGAAUAAAACUCCUCCAGUAAGGCCUGACCUUGGUUUUACCAUUUGCCUCACCUAGCCUUUUUCCCUUGGGUUUCCAGAGCCCGAGGGUCAUCUUUAUUUUAAACCCUCCCCCCGGGCUAGUGGUCCUCUGAGUGUUGGUCCAUCCUGUCAGCCGCCGGUGGCCACCAGGGGCAACUCUGGGCUGGCCAACCGGAAGUUUGGACAAUUCGGUGUGCCCUGAGAACGUGAUAUGUGCAGCUCCUAUCGGGAUUUGUCGGCACAUUCGGGUGGCUUUGCUGGUCUUGUUUUACCAUUGUCGAAAUGUCUUGUAACCGGGAUUCCGAGUCUGAUCGGGUCUUCCUGGGAGAAGGAAUAUCCUUCCUUGACCGUGAGAGCUUGUGAUGGGCUAAGUUGGGGCAACCCUGCAGGGUUUUGAACUUUCAAAAGCCGUGCCCGCGGUUAUGGGCAGAUGGGAAUUUGUUAAUAUCCGGUUGUAGAAAACCUGACACUUAACUUAAUUAAAAUGAAUCAACAACGUGUGUAGCCGUGAUGGUCUUUUGUCGGCGGUGUCCCGGAAGAGAACACGGUCUCGUGUUAUGCUUGAACUAAGUAGUUUCAGGAUCACUUCUUGAUCUUUCUAGUUCACGACCGUUGCAUUGCUUCUCUCCUCGCUCUUAUUUGCGUAUGUUAGCCACCAUAUAAUCUUAGUGCUUGCUGCAGCUCCACCUCACUAUCCCUUUCCUACCUUAAGCUUAAAUAGUCUUGAUCUCACGGAUGUGAGAUUGCUGAGUCCUCGUGACUCACAGAUACUUCCAAACAGUUUCAAGUGCCGAUGAUUCCAGUGCAGGUGACGCAACCGAGCUCAAGUGGGAGCUCGAUGAAGAUCAUGUUCGUUGUAUUGUUUUCAUUUCCAGUUGAUCAGUAGUGGAGCCCAGUCGGGGUGAUCGGGGAUCUUUUGCAUUAGGGGUUGUCUUUCUUUAUAUGGUUCCGUAGUCGGACCUUGAUUGUAUUAUGGAUGAUGUAAUGCUAUAUUUAUGUUUUGUGUGAAGUGGCGAUUGUAAGCCAACUCUUUAUCCCUUUCUUAUUCAGUACAUGGGACGUGUAAAGAUUACCCCUCUUGCUACAUGCCUACCAUGCGGUUAUGCCUCUAAGUCGUGCUUCGACACGUGGAAGAUAUAGCCGCAUCGUGGGUGUUACAUCCUCUUCCCAAAUAUUGAGCGGGAAGGGAGUCAACAACGGCGGGCUAAUUUGAAGGGGGACAGCUAAUACAAGCUAUCCUGACAAAAGCGGUCUUCGCCUGUGAAAGGCUCUGGUGGUGACGCCGUCUUGGGCUCCACGAUGACCUCCGCCUUGCCGUCUGCCUGGUCUUGGUCUUGUUGCACCGAAAUGGCAACCUUUGCCUGAGGCCUCGGUACUCUGCGGCUGCGCUUGCCUCCUUUUCACCAACGAGGAAACAAGGAAGCUGCACGCUGGCACCCGCCUGGUGUCGAUCGUCAUGGCUUACGUCACGAGAGCCUCGUGAGGUUUGCCCUGCCUUGAUAUCUCCGCUCCUCGUGAGCCUGCCUAGCUAGGCCACUCUAGAGGAGGUCUUGCGUCGUCCGCCUCGCGGGGCUUGGCCCCUCGCGAGGGUCUUGGAUGCUUUGUUGGUGAAGAUGGGUCGUACGGCCUGCUACUUGGCCACGCCGUGGGCCGCAGGCAGGCAAGUCUGGGGACCCCCGUUGCCAUAACGCCGACAGUAGCCCCGGGCCCAAGGUGCGCUCGGGCUUGGCUUCGCGGCGAAACCAAGGGUCAAGCUCGAUGCACCGCGGGCCCCAAAAGCCUGCGGCCUCGGUUGACGCAUGGCGGUCCAUAGGUCGUGGGCGUCUCUGCUUCCCCAUGCUACCCUUGAACCUGCCUGGCUAUGCGGCCCUGCUUCUUGCACAGUUAUUCUUCCCUCGCCACGCCCGGCUCUUCCAAUCUCCCUGCUCCUUCGACGUCCUACUCCGCCUUCCCAAUUCAACUUGCGCUCCGUCCGCUUCACCGCCACGGCGCCGAAACAGGCCGAGAAGGGGAACAAAACCUUUUCCUCGCCAAAUGCGCCUCCAUCCUUCGAGCCGGCGCUCGGCCGACCUCGGGUGGUCAACGACGAGGCCAUGGGCAAGGUAUGCCCCAUGCUCGCCUCCAGCUUCAACGAGUGGGGAGAGACGCCGGCCUGGCCUGUGUCUCACUCCAGCAUGGAUCAGGCAGUCACCGAGGUACCGAUCUUCAUUGAUGCCCUCUGGGUUGGCCUACUUCCUCCCUUCUCCGCCUUCUCAAUGCGGUGCUCGAGCACUAUCAGAUCCACAUGCUCCAUCUCGACCCUCAAUCUGUGACCCUUCUUGUCGUCUUUGCUUUCGUGUGUGAGGCCAUGGUGGGCAUCACCCCUCAGUGGCACUCCACCGCCACUUCUUCUCGCUGCAUCUCACCGGUGCCCAGUAGAGCUCGGGGUGGUUGGGCUUCCAGGCUUUGGCAAUGACAGCAGGCAUGGGGAUCAACUUCAAGAUUCCUUCAUCCGCGAGCGAGUUCCGCACGCGAUGGGUGUUUGUUGAUGCCGGCAUGCUCAACCCUCUGCUCCAAGCUCCGAUGGGGCCUGCCAUUCCAAACUCUGGCUGGAGUCAUCAGAAGCUCACGAGCCCCUGCCUUGCCCCCGUCUGGGCUAGGCUGAGGUGGUUGAAGGACAUUGGCGUGACUGCGCCCAUGGUGGUGAGGGAGUUCGUCAGGCGUCGAGUUGCUCCGCUUCAGCGCCAUUCUCGCCUGAUGUGGGCCUUGCUCAGCGGACAGGACAACAUGAGGUUUCAGGAGGAAGGGCUUCCUCUCGCUGCGCGGCAAACAGUGCUCACGGUCCUAUCUGGUGUCCCUCUGCCGGACGAGAUGCCCAGGAAAAGUUGCAUGUUGUACCGCUGCGAGAACAAGGCCACGUUUGCCGCGAACAUGCCUUCCUUUGAUGAGUGGGGGCUGCGCCCAAUCGGCUUGGUGGGGCCCCGCGAGAAUCCCGUCAUCAUGGUCCCCCUCUUCGCCGCCGGUGCCGAGCUCGCCCCAGCUGACGGUGCGGGGGAGCGAGUGGCGACGGUGGCCGACUGCUUAGAUGUUGAGGAGCACAUGCCGAGCGCUGAUCCGGGGGCGUCAUCCUUAGGAGCUUGCGAUGCCCCUCCUGAGGCGUCGGUCGCUGACGAGAUGCGGCAUGCGGCUCCCGAGGCCGAGGCUCAAGGAGCUUCGGGAGGUCGCAGCGAGAAAGAGCCAGGUUGUUCGCCAUAGCCGGGCUCCCCUGAAGCCAUCCCUCUUGGUUCUUCUUCGGCUCCGCCGCGCUCUAGCCGUCACGUCCAGCGUUUCGGUCGCCUUUGUGUGGACUUCGAGGAACUUCUCAAGAGGAAAGGAUGCCCUAGCGGUGGCAGCAUCUUCGGACUGUUGAAGCGACGGAAGUACAUCGCUAUCGAUGAGUAAGUACCUUAUCUUGGUGAUCUUCUAUGUGCCGCCUUCCUUUCCUGACGAUUGUCCCCUCAGGCCCCCUUCUGCUAAGGCCGCGAAAUCUCCGGAGAAGCAGCUCCCUCUCGUCCCAUCGCACCCGCCAAGCUCCAACGCUACAGGCUUGGACGCUGCCCAUGGCGUGUGGUCAGCCAUGGGAGUUGGUCCGUCAUCAAGGCGCCCCGAGCUUGCGCCUUCGCCGUCGUUUCUUCGCGGCCUUGCUCGGAGCACAACAGGUGUUCCAAUGGCUCCUCCCAUGGUCACGGUUAGUAGAUGGCUAGCCUCUAUCCUGGAGUCUCCUUCAAGCAGUGGGCCGUGUUCGGUUCGGGCCCCUCGCGAGGGUCAGCUGGCGCCUGGGGCCGUGCCAGCCGCCAGCCCCCAACCGGGAGGUGGUGCGCCACUUGAUGCUCCACCCGCAACCCUCGAGGUGGAGGACGAGGUGGGCCGAGUGUUCGAGCUCAAGCGCGGGCGCAACAUGGUCCACCACGAGCUCUUCCAGGAGGCGAUGGGAGCGAUUAACCGCCUUGGUGAAGAGCUUGCUGGUGUUGACUCGCGUCUUGAGGAUGAAGGUCUUCAGUUGGUGGAGGAGCGGCGCAAGCUACGAGUGGCCAUCAACCUUGGUCGUUAUCAUCGCGACCUCAAGAACACGAAGGCUGAGGCGUCCCUCAAGAUUGCCAAUGAGGCCCGCUCGCGAGCUUUCGAAGAAGCUCACAAGGGCAAUUGCCGCCGCGAGGCUACUGAGGAGCACGCGUGGGAGCUCCAGGCCUGGAGCGCGUCCCUUGAGCAGCAGGUCGAGGAGCGCAGGGCCGCCCUUGCGUUGAUGAGGGGGACGCCUGCAGAGGAAGAGGAGGUCCGGCAGCGCGACGAGACGCUGGCCCUGGAAGCCAUGGAGCGCAGCCUCGAGCUCGUGCGACCGGAGACGAGGGAGCGUCAAGUCACUCAAGCUGAAGAUGCCGUUGGGGCCCGCAAGGCCAGAGUCGAGGAGGAGAUCAAUCGCCGGGUGGCCGAGGUUCGCGCAGAUCUUUAGGGCAGGUACGACUUGAAGCUGAAGCUCGCUGGUCAGGAGGGUGCGGGCAGGGCUGCCGCCCUCAGGCCCAGGUUGGACGAGGCUAAGAGGCGUGUGGAGGCCAUAGCUGCCGCCCUGGUUACGGCGCAGGCGGACUUGGCCUCUGCCCGCGCCGAGCUGUCUUCCAUCCGGAAAAGAGUUGAUGAUGCCGAGGCCGUCUGUCACAUCCCUAGUUUUGGUAUGACCUAGGCUUGCUUUGUGCAUCAUGUUUAAAUUUCAAAUGAAGUUGAAAUGGGGAUGUUCCAAACCCUAGCACCAAAGCAAAUUCAAAUAGGUUCAAGUUAAAAUUGGAAUUUCAAUAAACCCAAAAUGCUCUUCAAAAAUGCUCAUGGUCUUUGGAAAAUGUUGCAAACAAUAACCAGAGGUGAUGCAAAUUUUUGCUAAACAUUUUGGAUUUUUGAAUGAACCCAUAUGUAUUUGAAUUGGAGUUGUUUAAAAUAAUAUAUAUAUUUUAAAGGCUCCAAAAAUGUUGGAAUUUGGUGAGGGCCUCUAGUAUAUUAUAACUAGUGGUCACAAGGAAUCUCAACAUUUUUAUUUUGUGCUAGUAUUUAUUUUAAGCCAAAAACAAAUGUCAGAAAUAGAAAAGAAAACAAAAAAAAAGAAAGCUUACCUGAGGCCUGGCACUGUUACAGCCCAGCUGGCCAGCCCCGUCUUCUACCUCUUGCCAGUAGGCAGAGGAGAAGCUGGGCACGACGCACGCGCGCGGCCACCGCGCGCCACCUCCACCCUGCCUGGCUGUCCUCCCGUCGCCUGGACCUCCCUCGCGUCGCCACGCACCCCUGGACCUCUCUCACUCUCUCCCGCGCUCCUCCCCUCCUUUGAUUUCUCUUCCCCGCAGCGCCACCGAGCGCAGCCGACGCCACCGCUCGCUGUUGUCGCGGCCACCGCCUCCCUAUCGCCUCCCCGACGUGCCCCAGGGAUUCGCCUCGUCGCCUUCCUCCUCAUCGUAGAGCCACACAUCGCCGGGAGCUCUACUUUGCCAUCAAUUCUGUCAUCUUCAACCUCUCGGCCGCCGAGAUCGCCAGCGCCCGACCUUCAUCUCUGACUCGUCUCCGAGCCCGCUGACCAUCCCGUCGCCUCCGCUGUGAGAUUCUGUGUCUGUUCUCCCUCUUCCCGAGCUCGUUUACGCCCCGCAGUCGUUGCCCCCUUGUCGACUGAACCGCGCCGCCGCCCGAGCUCGUCGGCGGCAACGCUCCGAUGACCAUUUGGUCCCAGACGCGUAUCCACUGAGCUUGCUACCCGCGCUGAGCCUCGCUAGUGCCUCCCCUUGCCCGCUUGCACCCCGCAACACUAACCCCGCGCGCACUCGAGCUCCGGCCGCCGCACUCGUCGUCGCUGGCGCCACUCCGGCCGCUUCCCGGCCGUGCCACCACCACGGCUGGAUGCGGACGAGCGUCCGCGUCCCGUAGCUACACUCCGCGCGCCAAAUGGCCCCCUGUAGGCAAAACCCACAGCGCACCGCCGUGUUUGGACUCGCCGGCGGCUAAACGCCGGCGACCGCUGACUUUAACUGGCGUGGGUUGACCCCACUGCCCAGUUUGACCCCCCUCUCUCUCGCUAACUUGCGGGCCCUGCCUGACUAAUUACUCUAGUUAGCACUAAUUAGCUAUAUAUAUUAGCUACUACGGUCACUGACUAGUGGGCCCUGCCCAGUUAGUUAGGACUAACUAACUUAGUUAGUUGACUAGGUCACUGACCAGUGGGACCCACUGGUUAGGUUUGACCUGGUCAGCCCCAUCGACUCGCUUACGUCAUGCUGACGUAGAUCUGACGCAAUAAUUGAUUUCUGGAAUUAUUUUAACUCGGGAAAUUCCAGAAUAUUGCUUAAACUUCUAGAAUUCAUAGAAAUUCAACCGUAGCUCAGAAUGAAAUAAUUUAUAUAUAAAAAAUUAUCAAAAAAAUGCAAGGAAUCAAUUUAUGCCAGUUACAUGCAUGAAAAACCAACUUAUACAUGCUGUAUAAGUGAAAACAUAAUAUGGGCAUUUUAAAUGCUUCAUUUUAAAUUGCAUUUGAAUCUUUGAUUCAAAUGGGCUUCAACCAACUUGGUAGCAUCUUGCAUUAGCCCAAACACUAGCAUUUGCACAUGUCAUGUUCAUGCAUCAUUUUGUUGCAUUUGUUUGUGUGUUGAUCGUCGGCAUCGUUUCUUCUCGAUAGGUUCCACUCCGGAAGGUGUUCCCGAGUACCUGUCAAAGGAGCAGUGCCCCUUCGUCGUUCUAUCAGGCAAGCAACCCCCCUUGAGCAUUUCGAUAAAUCCCACUCUCUCGCUCCUUCUCCUUAUACUACAUUAGGAUAACAACGAUUCAAACUGCUACUUUCUGCUGCGGUAGUUGAACCCAUUCCUCUGCAUGACCUGUAAUUGCCACAGUAAAUAGUUGAAACCCACUAGCAUGAGUAGGAGUUUCUUGAGCCUUGAUGUGCCUACUCAUCCAUGCUUGUUUUCUUUAUGCCAGCUAUGCUUAGAGUUGUGCCAAGUCUGAUUCAUCGGGAAUGAAUUGGAGUGGUGAACAUGUCCUACUGAUAAAGGCUAAGGUGUGAACACGUUUUGGUAAAGGUAGCGAUGAGAGGCCAUGUAGGAGUACAUGGUGGGUUGUCUCAUUGGAACCGUCCCUAAGCACUGAGUUUUGUGUAUGUUAUCCAAGUCCAGUUACUACCACACAUUGGGUUCCGGUUAUCCGGCCCCUCUCGGCUUAUUAAUCCACUUGAUCUCUGUCCAGGAGUUGCAACUAGUUUUUGGUGUUUGUAGGUAGUGCUAUUUGUCUACCAGGUGGUGUCCGACGGGACGAGCUUGGGACAGACUAGGCACCGUGGCACGGUGUACCAAGUGGCACUCGGAUGGUGGGCUUGGGAACCCUGCACACAUCGUUUGGGGCCGUACUGGAGACUUCGGCCAAAACUCCUUGCGGAUGGAACUCGAAUAGGCGAUAAACCUGGAAGAGAGACUUGUGUGGUUAGUCAGGUCGUGGCCGACACCCUCGCCUGGCUUCCGCUUGAAGGUUGCCGAGGUACAUGAUGUGUACAGGGCGAUAAGUGGCGAGAGCAUGUGUGAAAAAGUACAACCCUGCAGAGUUAACAUUAUCUAUUCGAAUAGCCGUUUUCCUCGGAUAUGGAAACUUGGAGGACUUAUGUAGUACAUAGACAACUUGAAGUGGAUACUCUAAAAUACGCAAGAUAAGCAUGAGUGCCAUGGAUGGCCUUCUCGUAGGGAGACGGGAAUGGAUCCGUAGUGGAGUAUUGAUAUGGUGAAUAUGUGGACUCGUGUGCGUCUCCUCACCUCAAAGAAGUUUCUGAUACUCGUAGUAUAGGUUAGCCACUGAGUCAAAGCUGGCCUGCUACUGUUAAAACUCCACCACCCCCUUUGUUGAUAAUGUUGCAUAUGUAGAUAGUUCUGUUGUAAGACUUGCUGAGUACCUUCAUACUCACGUUUGCUUAUUUAUGUUUUGCAGUUGGUCACUCUAGUGACUUUGAUGAGUAGCUUGUAUCCCAGCUACGAUCUUGUACCCUUGGGAGGGUCCUAUUUAGUCAGGCUUCUUAGUCUUUCCCUUUUGUAGUUGUCUGUACCCAGACAUGUAAUGCUUCCGUUGCUUGUAUGCUCUGAAUGAUGGGUCAUGAGACCCCUGUUUGUAUUGAAUGCUAUGUGGCUCUUUUGGGCCUUUAUCUAUAUGAGUUUGAGUUAUGUUGUGAUGCCAUGUUGUACAGCACAUACUUGCACGUUAUGUGUACGUGUAACGUGUAUUGCUAUGUGUGGGAUCCGACAACCUAGUUGUUUGUCCUUGGUAGACUCUCUUAUGGGGAAAUGUAGUCUAGUGCUUCCACUGAGCCUUGGUAGUCCGCUACAGCCUGGUUUACCAGAGUCCUGCUAGCCCAGUACUACUGCUCCGGAACACUUAGAUUGGCCGGCAUGUGAGUCACUUCAUCCCUGUGUCUGUCCCUUCGGGGAAAUGUCACGCGGAGACAUCCGGAGUCCUGCCUAGCCUGCUACAGCCCGGGUUCCCGGAGUCCUGUUAGCCUAGUGCUACAACCCGGAUUCAUUCGCUGUUGACUGACAUGCUCGAGGUUGAUUCAUGUAUGCCUGUCCCUGUAAGUUAGUGCUACUUUGGGUUCACGACUAGUCAUGUCGGCCCGGGUUCUCUGUCAUAUGCAUGCUAGCGACACUAUCAUAUACGUGAGCCAAAAGGCAUACACGGUCCCGGGCCUGGUAAGGUGGCACCCGUGGGAAUACUGUGCGUGAGGCCGCAAAGUGAUAUGAAGUGUUACAUGCUAGAUCGGUGUGACUUAGGAUCGGGGUCCCAACAGCGUUGGUAUCAGAGCCUGACUGACUGUAGGAUUUCCAAGCCAAACUGGUCGAAGUUGAGUCUAGAAAUCCUUUACUUAUAUAAGGGAAUUGAUUGUGGAAGGGAACAUAAGCCUCUUUUUACUCCUUUACCUCAUGUCAUUCUUUCUGAGUCAGUCUCUUGUUUUCUACGAGGGUUAAGGCCUAGGCUUCUCCUCUAUCUCUCAGGAUGAUGUGUUACUAAACCGUAAAGUCUUAGGAUUGUUGGGUUGUGUCUCCGUACAGCUCUACUACUUCUGUGUGUCCUCAGUUUGACCGAGAACCUUGAUAUUAUGAUGCUGAUUGAUUAUGUUAUUCCUUUAAUGAAUGUCUCAAAAUCCUUUUGAGCAUUUACAGCCGUUAUGCUGCCGAAAUUGUCUUAGGAUUUUUAGAGUUUCCAAUUCUUUUGCAUUACAUUCCGCAUCCUUAUGUCGAUGCUAAUUCCAUCCUUGUUUCCUUGGUUUCUGUGCCAGGGUGUCGUCUGCUAACCAAGGUUCAGUUGCUCAUAGCAAGAACCACGGAGAUAGUAGGGAUGAGGAUCCUCCUGACCAGCCUUUGAUGGCAGAGUUCUUGUUAGCAUCCGAGAGGAACCAGCUUGAGACUAACUGCUUGCUGGCACAGAUUGAGCAGAACACCGCACAUCAGCGUAAGAAGUUGGUUUCUAUCACCGACUUCAUUGGUCUGAAACCACCCACCUUCCAUCAUUCCAUUGAGCCACUUGAUGCGGAUGACUGGCUCCGGAGCAUCACUCACAAGUUGCAUACUGCGAGAGUGGCCGAAGGUGACAAGGUCACCUAUGCUACCUAUCACCUGAAAGGUCCUGCUAGUAUUUAAUGGCAGAGCUAUGAGGCUAUGCUACCAGCUGGCCAGAUUCCUACCUGGAGGGAUUUCACCAAGGCUUUUCGUGAGCACCACAUUCCUCAGGCUCUCAUUGACCGCAAGAGGGAAGAGUUUUGUAGUUUUACCCAGGGUAAGCUGCCUGUUGAUGCUUACAGUAGAGAGUUUGGGAACCUCGCCCGCUAUGCUACAGAAGAAGUGUCCACGGACGCCAAGAAGCAGGCUAGGUUCCGGAAGGGUCUCAACCCUAAGUUGCAUCGUGAUCUCCAACUGCAUCAUUGUGAUACUUUCUAGGCUCUUGUGAACAAGGCCAUUAAUGCAGAGAUAGCUCAACUCACUUACGAGGAGUCUCGUAAGCACAAUUGUGAUCUGGGUUCUUCCUCCCGCUCUGGCUCUCAGAAGCGAUGGAUUUGGAUUCUGAACUCGGCUCUUCCACCUUGAUAUGCACCGAGGCCAUCCGAUGUGGCGCCUCACCCAGCUCAGCAACGUGCUCCACCCAGGCCUAUUAGUGGACCACUUGCCAAUGUAGGUCCACGUCCUGCCUCAGGAACUUGCUUCACCUGCGGAGAACCAGGACACUAUGCACGUGACUGCCCUCAGUCCAGUUAUACUCCACCCCAGUCUGAGAGGUCUGUUGGCCGUGAAAAGCCAUCAGGCAAGAUGAUCGGUACCAAGCCAGCCAUCACUGAGCGAGCAUGUGUGCACCACGUGUCUGCUACAGAAUCUCAAGAUGAUCCCGACGUCGUAUUGGGAACACUUCUUGUCAAUUGUCACCCAGCUUCUAUUCUGUUCGAUACUGGAGCAUCCCACUCCUUCAUAUCCGAAGUUUAUGCUUGGUUGCACGGCAUGUCAUUUUGUGAUAUGCCAACUCCACUAAUAAUCCAGACUCCAGGUUCCAAAUGGAAAACCUCUAAGGUAAGCCAUGGUAAUGAAAUCCUUUUUGACAGACUGGUAUUCCUUGCUUCUUUGAUAUCUCUCAAGUCCACAGAUAUUAACAUCAUCUUGGGUAUGGACUGGAUGACAGCUCAUCAUGCCAAGAUCGAUUGUUACACUAGAUCUGUUCAACUUACACAUCCAUCUGGCAAAAUAGUCACUGUCUCCACUAGAGUUGCAAGGCGUCAACUCUAUUCUCUUAAUGCCAGCCCUCUUCCAGACCUUGAAGAUAUUCCGGUAGUUCGUGACUUCUCGGAUGUCUUUCCAGAAGAACUGCCAGGUGUCCCACCUGACAGAGAUGUAGAGUUUGUCAUAGAACUUAUCCCAGGAACUGUUCCAAUCUCUAGGAGACCAUACAAGAUGGCACCUUUGGAGUUAGCCAAGCUUAAGAAGCAGCUUGAUGAGUCCUUGCAAAAGGGUUUCAUCCGUCCCAGUUCUUCUCCUUGGGCUUGUCCUGUCCUCUUCGUCAAGAAGAAGGAUGGUACGGAUCGGAUGGUUGUAGAUUAUCGUCCCAUUAAUUUGAUCACGAUAAAGAACAAGUAUCCGCUCCUCAGGAUCAACGACCUGUAUGAUCAACUCGCUGGAUCCUCAGUCUUUUCCAAGAUGGAUUUGAGGUUAGGCUACCACCAAAUCAAAAUCAGAAAUGGGGACAUGCCCAAAACGGCCUUUGUCACUCGUUAUGGUCAAUACGAGUACACCGUGAUGUCUUUCGGCCUAACCAAUGCUCCAGCUACUUUCUCCCGCUUGAUGAACUCGAUCUUUAUGGAGUACUUAGAUAAGUUCGUCGUGGUUUAUCUCGAUGAUAUUCUUAUUUACUCGAAGAACGAGGAAGAGCAUGUCGCACAUCUUAGACUUGUGUUAGAAAAACUCAGAGAGCACCGCCUUUAUGCCAAGUUCUCCAAGUGUGAAUUUUGGUUGCCAGAAGUGACCUAUUUGGGCCACGUGAUCUCUGGUAAGGGCAUUUCUGUCAAUCCCGAGAGAGUCAAAGCCGUUCUCGAUUGGACUCCACCCAAAACGGUCAAACAAGUUAGGAGUUUCGUUGAUCUAGCCAGUUAUUGUCGCCGCUUCGUUGAAAACUUCUCCAAAGUGGCAAACCCCUCAUGGAACUUCUCAAGAAAGAUAAAAGGUUUGAGUGGACCCCAUAGUGUGAGCACAGUUUUCAGGAACUGAAAAGAUGCCUGACUUCUGCGCCCAUACUCGUGCCACCGGAUUUCACUAAAGACUUUGUUAUCUAUUGCGACGCUUCGCGUCAAGGACUAGGUUGAAUUCUUAUGCAGGAUCGUCAUAUGAUUGCCUAUGCAUCUCGAUAGUUGCAUCCUCAUGAGGAAAAUUAUCCUACACAUGAUCUAGAGCUUGCAGCCUUAGUCUAUGCACUUAAGACUUGGUGACAUUAUCUUCUUGGUAACCGUUGCGAAAUCUACACUGACCAUCAGAGUCUCAAGUAUAUCUUCACCCAACCGGAUCUGAAUCUCAGACAGAGACGUUGGUUGGAGUUGAUCUCGGAUUACAACUUAGGAAUCACCUACACCCCAGGCAAAGCCAAUGUCAUGGCUGAUGCUUUAAGUCGUAAAUCCUAUUGCAACAACCUCGUGUUGCAACAAUAUCAACCACCCCUCCAUGAGGAAUUAUGUAAGCUUAAUCUUCACAUAGCUCCUCAUGGUUCUCUUUCUACCUUGGUUGCGAAACCUACCCUUACGGAUCAGAUCAUAGAGGCUCAGAAGCAUGAUACGGGAAUCUCCCGGAUCAAGAAAAAUAUUUCCAAGGGAGUUGCCGACUGUUUCUCUAUGGAUGAACAAGGUGUUGUUUACUUUGGAAACCAUUUGGUGGUUCCCAAAUGUCAACAGAUGCAGCAACUAAUCCUUAAGGAGGCCCAUGAAUCUCCUCUCACAAUUCAUCCCGGUAGUACAAAGGUGUAUUAGGACCUACGCCAGAGGUUCUGGUGGACUAGGAUGAAGAGAGAAAUCGUUCAAUAUAUUGCCAACUGUGACGUUUGUCAUCGCGUUAAGGCAGGGCAUCAAAGACCUGCUGGCACCCUUCAACCUUUAGCUAUUCCCGAGUGGAAAUGGGACAAAGUUGGUAUGGACUUCAUCAGCGGCUUUCCCACGACCAAGAAAGGAAAUAAUGCUAUCUUCGUAGUCAUUGAUCGUCUCUCCAAAGUGGCUCACUUCCUACCUGUUCGAGAGAGUAUCACUGCUAGUCAGCUCGCUGACUUAUAUAUCUCCCGAAUAGUGUCACUCCAUGGUGUACCACUAGAGAUCAGUUCAGACCGUGGAAGUCUUUUCACUUCUCAUUUCUGGGAAAGUUUCCAGAAUUCCAUGGGAACCCAUCUUUCUUUCAGUACCGCUUUCCACCCUCAGUCAAGUGGUCAGGUGGAAAGGGUCAACCAAAUUCUCGAAGACAUGCUUAGAGCUUGUGUUAUCUCAUUCGGUAUGGAUUAGUAGAAGUGUCUUCCUUUCGCCGAGUUUGCUUAUAACAAUAGCUAUCAAUCCAGUCUUAAGAAAGCUCCUUUUGAGAUUCUCUAUGGACGAAGAUGUCGAACACCUUUGAACUGGUCAGAAACCGGUGAAAGGCAAUUCUUUGGGCUGGAUAUGAUCCAGGAGGCAGAAGAGCAAGUUCACAUCAUUCGUGAAAAUUUGAAAACAGCCCAAUGUCGUCAAAAGAGCCAGUAUGACCGUCGUCAUAAGGAAGUGGCUUAUGAAGUUGGCGACGAGGCUUACCUUUGGGUUACUCCUUUGAAGGGUACCCAUCGUUUCGGUAUCAAGGGCAAGUUGGCUCCUUGUUACAUUGGUCCUUUUCGCAUUCUCGCUAAAUGAUGAGAGGUUGCCUACCAGUUGGAACUACCCCCACAUCUUUCUCGAGUUCAUGAUGUCUUCCACGUCUCUCAACUCAGGCGUUGCUUCACGGAUCCCAUCCGCGGAGUGGACCACGAAACGCUUGAUCUCCAAGAUAACCUCACUUAACGAGAGUACCCCGUUCGCAUUCUGGAACAAGCAGAGCGUGUCACUCGACUUCAUAACAUCAAGUUUCUCAAGGUUCAAUGGUCUCAUCAUUCCGAGAGAGAAGCUACUUGGGAGCAAGAAGAUCGUCAUCGACUUGAGUACCCCACUUUUUUUCCGCCGACUGGUGAAUCUCGGGACGAGAUUUUUUCGAGUGGGGGCGAGUUGUCACAUCCCUAGUUCUAGUAUGACCUAGGCCUGCUUUGUGCAUCAUGUUUAAAUUUCAAAUGAAGUUGAAAUGGGGAUGUUCCAAACCCUAGCACCAAAGCAAAUUCAAAUAGGUUCAAGUUAAAAUUGGAAUUUCAAUAAACCCAAAAUGCUCUUCAAAAAUGUUCAUGGUCUUUGGAAAAUGUUGCAAACAACAACCAGAGGUGAUCCACAUUUUUGCUAAACAUUUUAGAUUUUUGAAUGAACCCAUAUGUAUUUGAAUUGGAGCUGUUUAAAAUAAUAUAAAUAUUUUAAAGGCUCCAAAAAUGUUGGAAUUUGGUGAGGGCCUCUGGUAUAUUAUAACUAGUGGUCACAAGGAAUCUCAACAUUUUUAUUUUAUGCUAGUAUUUAUUUUAAGCCAAAAACAAAUGUCAGAAAUAGAAAAGAAAAAAAAAA